AUUAAAUUUUCUUAAUAGUACGACUAAUGUAGAUAAACAAAGCUUUAUACAUUUGAAUAUUGGAUAAUAUAUCUUCCAAUUGGCGGGGAAUACUUUCAAUGUUACUAUUUACACAUGUACCACUAUCACAUAAAUCGUUCGCUAAUAAUAAACGGUCAAUUCCAAACGCAGGGCACCGAAGUACGAUAUGAUCCAAAUCAGCAUUUGCUUGAUUACAGUAAGAACAUCUGUUACUAUUCACUAAAUGAAGUCUAUAAAGAUGUGCUGGAGUCAAACAGUGUCCCAACCUCAUGCGUGUGAUGCAGCUAAAAAACUUUCUGUCAAUAUAUUUGUGUUGAUGAUACCAAGGUUUCGUUGGUAAUUCUUUCUGUAUUUUGCUGUACCAUUUUCCUUUGGUCUGCAGGGUAUUGUCCCAUGUACAAGUGAAGGAGCAGUGACUACAUUAGAUGAGACUGGUUCUAUGUCCAGAGGACUCAAUUCGAAGUUGUUUGUGAAGAAUGCUAUUGUUUAAGGAUACUAUUUUCAAAUAAAAUCUUUGGGCCAACUGUAAUCUACGCAAAACCAGAGGAGGAGAGACACAGUAUGAUGAUGGUUGCACAUUUAUCUCAAGAAAAGUUGGAAGGUGGUAACUACCCAUUGGGUCAUCAUGAACAUACCAAUUGCAAAGAUGAGCAAUAGAAGAACUAGUAAGAGCCAAAUCUAAUGCAGCAGCCUGUCUACCAGGAUAAGGGACCGUUGUUGUAGAUCCAUCAUUUAAAAUGCAUAAAUCACAAUCAUCUAUAAGGUUAAACAAGCAUUUACCCCUAUUGUUGUCAUAAUUAGAUCCAAAAGCCAUGUGAUGAGCAUUAAAAUCACCCAUUAUAACACAAGGCCUUGGUAAGGAAUUUAUAAGUCUCUUCAAUUUUAAAUCAUCAAA
Long non-coding RNA from Manduca sexta (tobacco hornworm), 916 nucleotides. RefSeq lists it as uncharacterized. The record is from RefSeq and is a predicted model, not a curated record. The transcript is spliced from 3 exons. NCBI's taxonomy places the organism in Eukaryota, Metazoa, Arthropoda, Insecta, Lepidoptera, Sphingidae.